CCUACGGGAGGCAGCAGUGGGGAAUGUUGCGCAAUGCUCGGAAGAGUGACGCAGCGACGCCGCGUGAAUGACGAAGGCCUUCGGGUCGUAAAGUUCUUUCGACAGGGAAGAAAAUGCCUAUAAGUAACUGUGGAUGUAUUGACGGUACCGGUAUAAGCAGCCCCGGCUAACUCCGUGCCAGCAGCCGCGGUAAUACGGAGGGGGCGAGCGUUGUUCGGAGUGACUGGGCGUAAAGAUCACGUAGGCGGUGUUGUACGUCAUGAGUGAAAGACUAGCGCUCAACUUUAGUAAGGCUAGUGAUACUCUCAUACUAUAGUAUCAGAGAGGAUUGCCGAAUUCCUGGUGUAGCGGUUA
RNAcentral lists this ribosomal RNA (354 nucleotides) under uncultured bacterium. Its description in RNAcentral is "partial 16S ribosomal RNA". It matches the Rfam family "Bacterial small subunit ribosomal RNA", at positions 338 to 684 of the family's 1533-position model. The record is from RNAcentral.